CUCCGAGCCUCCUCGUCCACAGUUCAGUUGUCAAAAACCUCUCCCAACUCUUGACUCUAUUCUCUUCUCCCAAGUCCCAACACUCCUCCCUGCAUUGUUUCCAUCAACCUUUGGCUUCUCAUCAAAAUCAUAUCAAAGACCAAACCUUUAAUCCAUCCCACGUUUUUUGACAUGUGAAUGGCUCAAGGUGAUGUCCUGAAAUUGGUGUUUGCGGUUGGAGUUUGGUGUGCUGCUUACGUCACCGUUGCUGUUCUUGCUUCGUUUCGUGUUUUAAGCUACGUCUGCAGCUGCGCGCUAUGAAUCUGGUGCUGAAUGUCAAGUGGGUCGCGGAGUAUCUGCAAUGCUUACAGUUAUUCUUGGCCCGACUGGUUACACUAUUGAGAAGAGCCAGGAGAAGAUUCAACUAGGCAUUAAAGGGCUUGAGAAUAUCACAGUUGUGGAAAGUUUCAUUUGUAAAAUUAUACGGAGUCAGACAAUAAGUUAAUUCUAAAUCAGGCAUUUAUGCGAGUGUGAAUAGUUAACUGAAAAUGAGUAAUGAGUUUGUUUAAGCAAUUCUCCCAAUUUUCUUUAA
This is a long non-coding RNA of Rosa chinensis, 571 nucleotides long. RefSeq lists it as uncharacterized. Lineage: Eukaryota; Viridiplantae; Streptophyta; Magnoliopsida; Rosales; Rosaceae. The transcript has 3 exons. The record is from RefSeq and is a predicted model, not a curated record.